Daphnia magna is the source of this 642-nucleotide long non-coding RNA. RefSeq lists it as uncharacterized. The transcript is spliced from 3 exons. Lineage: Eukaryota; Metazoa; Arthropoda; Branchiopoda; Diplostraca; Daphniidae. The record is from RefSeq and is a predicted model, not a curated record.
AAUGAAGUAAACGCUAUCAAGUGGGAUCCUCAGGGUAAUCUUUUGGCUUCCUGUUCUCACGAUAUUGUGUACAGUGUCGCAUUUUCUCCCGAUGGCAAAUACCUAGCAUCUGGUAGCUUUGACUAAUGUGUACACAGCUGGUCUACUCAGUCGGGGCAAUUGUUACACAGCUACAAAGGAACUAGAGGCAUUUUUGAAGUUUGCUGGAAUUCUCGGGGCGAUAAAGUUGGAGCAAGUGCUUUUGACGGAAGUGUAUUUGCUGGGAUAACUGAACAGAAGUUUUAAAGAAAGACGGAAACAAUUGACAAGGCAAAAGAUUGGGAACCUGAAUGCUAUUCAGGUAACCAGUGCCAAUACAUUUUAUGUGGUACAUGUAACAAGACACUUGUGUUCAUGAUUCGCAAGCACAAAACAAGGAAAUCUACACCAUAAAAUGGAGUCUUACCGGCCUUGGAACAAAAAACCCAAACAUGAAUCUGAUUUUGGCUAGCGCUUCGUUUGACUCGACCGUUUUGUGGGACGUUGAGCGUGGGUUGUGUAUUCAUACCUUAACCAAGCACUCCGAACCAGUGUACAGUGUCGAUAAAUAUGUUUUGAUUCGAUUUGUCAAUAAAAAUAAGAUAGAUAUGUUUUAAAAUUCAA